GUAGAAUUUGUUUAAAAUAAAAACAAGUAUGUUUACUUUUAUUUAUUAUAAAAUAAGGUAGGCAAUUAAUCUUUUAAAGAAAUAACUUUUAAGACAUAGGCUUGGCCCUGACUUGCUAGUAUAUCAUAAGCAAAAGAAUACACAUGGAUUUUUUUGAUAAAAGCGAGGUAAGAAAAGUAGUUUAUAAUUAUUCAUAAAGAUCUUUUAAACUUUUUCUUAAAGUAUUAUAGCACUAUAAAAUGCUUUGUUAAGUCCCGCUAACACCAGUGCUGAAGUUUAAAAAAUAGGCGAAAGCCUGCGUUAAUUUAGCUAUCAAAUCUGGUUAACUUGGUGCCAGCAUCCGCGGUUAAACCAAGAGAUUAAGUUAUACUUAAACGGUAAAAAGGCAGUUAGGCAUAAAUAUUAAAGUUGACUUAUAGUCGCCAAUAAAGGAGUAAAAUCCAAAUAUCGACUUAAAAAUUUGUGUUAACUUGUUUGCUGAAUCUGCGACACCCUCGAGGGAAACUGGGAUUAGAUACCCCAUUAUUCUUGGAAAUAAAAAGAAAAAUCUACCAGAGUACUAUGAAUUAAAAAUUUAAAACUCAAAGGGCUUGGCGGUGCCUUAGACCUUUCAGGGGAACCUGUCUUAUAAUCGACAAUCCACGUUAUACCUAACCUUUUCUUGCAUACAGUUUGUAUACCGUCGUCGUCAGGUAACUUUUAAAAAUUUAAUAGUUAGCAGAUAAACUUUAAUAAGUUUAAACGUCAGAUCAAGGUGCAAUUAAUGAAAAGGUCAAGAUGGGUUACAAUUAUAUUUUAAUAAUAAUACGGAAAAUUGACUGAAAUGCCAUUCCGAAGGAGGACUUGAAAGUAAAGAAUUUAUAUACACAUAUAAAUUGAAUAAGGCUCUGAGGCGUGCACACAUCGCCCGUCGCUCUCGUUGAAAAAUGAGAUAAGUCGUAACAUAGCAGGGGUAAUGGAAAUUGUCCCUAGAU
RNAcentral lists this ribosomal RNA (974 nucleotides) under Costapex baldwinae. Its description in RNAcentral is "12S ribosomal RNA". The stretch from base 262 to 974 matches the Rfam family "Microsporidia small subunit ribosomal RNA". Lineage: Eukaryota; Metazoa; Mollusca; Gastropoda; Neogastropoda; Costellariidae. The record is from RNAcentral.